Regulatory RNA element from Dethiosulfatibacter aminovorans DSM 17477, 100 nucleotides. It matches the Rfam family "Pyrrolysine insertion sequence mttB". The record is from Rfam. Lineage: Bacteria; Bacillati; Bacillota; Tissierellia.
AUGUCCGAUUCAAAGACCAUAGAUACUCAGGCAGGAUAUGAAAGUGCAAUAACCGCCAUGACAGUUGCGCUGUCAGGAAGCAACUACAUCCAUGAUUCAG